Molecule: ribosomal RNA, 253 nt
Filed under: uncultured bacterium
Lineage: Bacteria
Description: partial 16S ribosomal RNA
Rfam family: Bacterial small subunit ribosomal RNA
Source: RNAcentral
GACGUAGGGGGCCAGCGUUGUUCGGAAUUACUGGGUGUAAAGGGUUCGUAGGCGGUGUGGCAAGUCGGGAGUGAAAUCUCUGGGCUCAACCCAGAGUCUGCUUCCGAAACUGCUGUGCUUGAGUGUGGGAGAGGCGCGUGGAAUUGCAGGUGUAGCGGUGAAAUGCGUAGAUAUCUGCAGGAACACCCGUGGCGAAAGCGGCGCGCUGGACCACUACUGACGCUGAGGAACGAAAGCGUGGGGAGCGAACAGG